Molecule: ribosomal RNA, 433 nt
Filed under: uncultured bacterium
Lineage: Bacteria
Description: partial 16S ribosomal RNA
Rfam family: Bacterial small subunit ribosomal RNA
Source: RNAcentral
AACGAACGCUGGCGGCAGGCUUAACACAUGCAAGUCGAACGGACCUUCCGGGGUGAGUGGCGGACGGGGGAGGAACGCGGGGGAAGCUACCCGUGUCUACGGGACAGCUCCGGGAAACUGGAAUUAAGACAGGAUACGUCCAGAGGGGGAAAGAUUUAUCGGGGAAGGGUGCGCCCGCGUUGGCUUAGCUGGUUGGUGGGGUAAAGGCCUACCAAGGCGACGAUCGAUAGCUGGUCUAAGAGGACGAUCAGCGACGUUGGGACUUAGAGCCGGCCCAAACUCCUGCGGGAGGCGGCAGUGGGGAAUCUUGGACGACGGGCGCAUGCCUGAUCCAGCCAUGCCGCGUGAGUGAUGAAGUCCCUAGGGUUGUAAAGCUCUCUCAGUGGGGACGAUAAUGACGGUACCCACAGAAGAAGCCCCGGCUAACUUCGUG